CCUACGGGAGGCAGCAGUGAGGAAUAUUGGUCAAUGGUCGGGAGACUGAACCAGCCAAGCCGCGUGAGGGAUGAAGGUACAGAGUAUCGUAAACCUCUUUUGUCAGGGAACAAAGUCGGGGACGUGUCCCCGGCUGAGUGUACCUGAAGAAAAAGCAUCGUCUAACUCCGUGCCAGCAGCCGCGGUAAUACGGAGGAUGCGAGCGUUAUCCGGAUUUAUUGGGUUUAAAGGGUGCGCAGGCGGUCUGUUAAGUCAGCGGUCAAAGCCCGGGGCUCAACCCCGGCCCGCCGUUGAAACUGGCAGUCUCGAGUUGGAGAGAAGUAUGCGGAAUGCGCGGUGUAGCGGUGAAAUGCAUAGAUAUCGCGCAGAACUCCGAUUGCGAAGGCAGCAUGCCGGCUCCAAACUGACGCUGAGGCACGAAAGCGUGGGUAUCGAACAGGAUUAGAUACCCGGGUAGUC
RNAcentral lists this ribosomal RNA (459 nucleotides) under uncultured bacterium. RNAcentral's name for it is "partial 16S ribosomal RNA". It matches the Rfam family "Bacterial small subunit ribosomal RNA", at positions 338 to 795 of the family's 1533-position model. The record is from RNAcentral.